RNAcentral lists this ribosomal RNA (469 nucleotides) under uncultured bacterium. RNAcentral describes it as "partial 16S ribosomal RNA". It matches the Rfam family "Bacterial small subunit ribosomal RNA", at positions 28 to 507 of the family's 1533-position model. The record is from RNAcentral.
GAUGAACGCUGGCGGCGUGCUUAACACAUGCAAGUCGAACGGUGAACACGGAGCUUGCUCUGUGGGAUCAGUGGCGAACGGGUGAGUAACACGUGAGCAACCUGCCCCUGACUCUGGGAUAAGCGCUGGAAACGGCGUCUAAUACUGGAUAUGUGACGUGACCGCAUGGUCUGCGUUUGGAAAGAUGUUUCGGUUGGGGAUGGGCUCGCGGCCUAUCAGCUUGUUGGUGAGGUAAUGGCUCACCAAGGCGUCGACGGGUAGCCGGCCUGAGAGGGUGACCGGCCACACUGGGACUGAGCCACGGCCCAGACUCCUACGGGAGGCAGCAGUGGGGAAUAUUGCACAAUGGGCGCAAGCCUGAUGCAGCAACGCCGCGUGGGGGAUGACGGCCUUCGGGUUGUAAACCUCUUUUAGCAGGGAAGAAGCGAAAGUGACGGUACCUGCAGAAAAAGCGCCGGCUAACUACGUG